AGAAAAACGACAUGGUAUCGAGCUAGGGUUGGACCGCGCCGCCACGCUCGCCGCCUCCGGUCCGUGCCGCCCCUUCCCCCUCGCCGCGGUCGCGCCCCGCGCCAGCGCCCACAAUGGGUCGCGCUCCCGUGCAGCCGGGGGCACGCGCCCGUGCACUAGGCGCCGCGCCCCGCAUCGGACGGGGCGGCUUCCCCUCGUCGCCAGCUCACCGCACUGGACGGGGACGUCGUGCCGCCGCUCAUGCGGAGGUUCUCCGCCGCCAAGUGCUCGACGAGGAGCUCGGCAAGCUGCCGUCCGGCGUCACCAGCAUCCUCCCCAACAUCAACCCGGUGCUCCUGCCCAAGAAGACCGCUGAGCCAACCGAUAGGCAGAUGCAACAUUGGGGUGGAGGGCGAGUUGCUUCCUGGUAGAAGAGGGUGAGCCGCUGGUGUAGAAGAGGGCGAGUUGUUGCGGGAUUUGUCGACUGGCUGUUGCUUCUGAGCUGUUGCGCCUACGCGUUCCUGGUGGAACGAAGAGGUAGCCCUGCAGUGUGUGUUCGUUCAGGUGGCGGUGGAAGAAGAGGCAUUGAUGAUGAUGAGUCCAAAGGUGGCUGAAGCAAGAAGGUUGAAGGAAGAGGCUGAAAAAAGGGCAAUGAUUCAUGGUGACAAGAAAGAAGAGGAUCCACUAAUCACAAAAAGUGAGAUGAGAAAUGAGAUGAGGAGUAUGAUUCAGUAACUCAUGGGGCUAGGUAUGAUUGGCCCCAAGACUUUGACUAUCUCAUCCGAAUUAAAGUUGGAACUCGUUCCAAAUGCUGUGAAGCUAGAAGGGAGCAAGAAUUACUUGAGUUGGUCUAGGAGAGUGCGAGUGCUCCUAGGAGGUUAAGGAAUGGAGCACUAUUUGGAAGAGGGUUGUGUUGAACCUGUUGAUAGGCUCAGCUCUGAAUGGAGGGUUUGGUAUACCACCAACUCGAUUAUUGUGGCGUGGUUGUUAGCAUCCAUGUAUUCGUCUGUAAGUAAGAUGGUUGAAGCCAUGCGCACUGCUGCACAAAUUUGGAAGACCUUGAGCAAUAUGUAUUCAAGAAAGGGGAAUGUAAUGAUGAUGAUGGAAAUCCAAAGUAAGGCAGAUGUAGUGAAACAGAUAGGGAGACCAGUGGAACAAUAUGCUAGUGAACUUCAGUACUUGUGGGGAGAGCUAGAUCACUACGCUCCUCUGCAAAUGGUUUGUCCUCAGGAUGCACAUGUUGUCCACAAGUGGGUAGAGGACACGAGAGUGACUCACUUUUUAAAGAAUUUGGAUCCGGAGUUUGAGAGCAGGAGAGCUGCCUUUUGUCACCAAGAGAGUCUUCCUACCAUGGAUGAGGCUAUGUCAGCAAUGAUUAAUGAGGAAAGCAGGCUUCGAGUAAUGACAACUAAUGAUCCUGUGAAAUCAGCCUACACUGCAACUGAUGAUAGAGACUGUUAUAAUUGUGGUGAGAAGGGACACUUGAGUUACAAUUGUCCUCAUCCUCGUGGCAGUGGUGAACGAGGUGGUGGAACUCGUGGAGCCACUCGUAGUACCUAUGGAAGAGGUCGUGGAGGCUAUGGAAGGGGUGUGGUGGCUGUGCCAGGGGUAGAGGUCAUGGUGACCCUCGUGUUAAUGUUGCAGUCACUGAAGACACCCCUUCAAUCACCCUGACUGGGGAACAAGCUAAAUGAGAGGAAGAAUCGACACCUAUUUGAGAGCACCUAGAGGGGGGGUGAAUAGGUGAUCCUGUGAAACUUAAACUUAUAGCCACAAAAACUUGUUAAGUGUUAGCCCAAUAAUCGCCAAGUGGCUAGAGAGGAGUCUCAACAAAACACAAUACCACAAGAGAUCAAACACAGAGAUGACACAGUGGUUUAUCCCGUGGUUCGGCCAAGACCAACGCUUGCCUACUCCACGUUGUGGCGUCCCAACGGACGAGGGUUGCAAUCAACCCCUCUCAAGCAGUCCAAAGACCAACUUGAAUACCACAGUGUUUUGCUUUUCCUUUCAAUAUCCCGUUUGCGAGGAAUCUCCACAACUUGGAGUCUCUCGCCCUUACACUUGAGAUUCACAAAGAAAUACGGAGUAAGGGAGGGAAGCAACACACACAAAUCCACAGCAAAUAUGCGCACACACACGGCCAAGAAUCGAGCUCAAAAGACUAUCUCAAAGUUCUCACUAGAACGGAGCUCGAAUCACUGAGAAUGACAAACAAAUGCGCAAAGACUGAGUGUGGAUGAUCAAGAAUGCUCUAAGGUUGCUUAGUGUGCUCCUCCAUGCGCCUAGGGUCCCUUUUAUAGCCCCAAGGCAGCUAGGAGCCGUUGAGAGCAAAUCUGGAAGGCCUUUCUUGCCUUCUGUCGUCGGGUGCACCGGACAGUCCGGUGCACACCGGACACUGUCCGGUGCCCGAUUUCCUUCCUUAAAUAGCGAAGCCGACCGUUGGCAGACUUGGAGCCGUUGGCGCACCGGAUAUGUCCGGUGCACACCGGACAGUCCGGUGCCCCCUUCUAGCCGUUGGCUCGGCCACGUGUCCCGCGCAGAUCGCGCGGCCGACCGUUGGCCCGGCCGACCGUUGGCUCACCGGACAGUCCGGUGCACACCGGACAGUCCGGUGAAUUAUAGCCGUACGCCGUCGGUGAAUUCCCGAGAGCGGCCACUUCGCUCGACGCAGCCUGGCGCACCGGACACUGUCCGGUGCACCACCGGACAGUCCGGUGCCCCAGACCGAAACAGCCUUUUGGUUGUACACAGCCAACUCUUCUCUUUUCUUCUUCUUUCUGUUUCUAAUACUUAGACAAGUAUAUUAGUACACAAAACCAAUGUACUAAGACUUGGAAACAUACAUUUGCUCUUGUUUUGCACUUUGUCCAUCCAUAAGCAUGAAUUCACAUUUAAGCACUUGUGUUGGCACUCAAUCACCAAAAUACUUAGAAAUGGCCCAAGGGCACAUUUCCCUUUCAAUCUCCCCCUUUUUGGUGAUUUAUGCCAACACAACAUAAAGCAACUAAAAUAAGUGUAAAAUCACUUCAAAUAAAACUCAAAUUUAUUUUGAUUCAUUUUUGGCAUAUAUGGAUCAUCCUUUGCCACCACUUGGUUUGUUUUUGCAAAUCAAACUCAAAUCUCUAUCUCUAAGUCAAACACACAUGUUGAAGCAUAAAGAGAGUCAUUCCAAAAGAGAUUGAUCAAAGAUUUCAAAAACUCCCCCUAUUUCCCAUAAUCAACACUUCUCCCCACAAGAGGCCAACUUUUGACAAAAGAGACAAUGCAAGAGUUUUGACAAACCAAAAGCUCUAUUCUACUAUUUUCAAAAUUUCUCAAGUGGUAGCUGAUCCAUCUAUUGCUUUGGCCUUUAUUUUCUCCCCCUUUGGCAUCAAGCACCAAAACGGGAUCAAUCUUGACCCCAUAACCCCAUUGCCUCACCAAAAUCUUCAAUUAAGAGCAAAUGGCAAUAAGAGUUCAUGAGAUGAACUUGGAAUAAGUUACCCUCUCAUCGGAGUGCAGUGGAAGUCUUUCAUGGUCCAAGUCCACCUUUUCCCUUUCAAUUCUCCUUCGAGACUAAAUCAAGUAAACUCAAGCAUAUGGUUAGUCUCAAAGGGUCAAGUUGUAACACAACUCCCCCUAAAUAUGUGCAUCACUUACACAAGGACUUGUGAGGUCCAGGGAAUGUUUGUACAACUUGAGCACCACAAUAAGCAACAAAAUGCAGAAUGAACAUGAUCAAAGGCAUAAACAUAUGUAUGCUACAAUUCAAUCCAAGUUCCGCGAAUCUAAGACAUUUAGCUCACUACGCAGCCUGCAAAAGGUCUUCUCAUCUAGAGGCUUGGUAAAGAUAUCGGCUAGCUGGUUCUCGGUGCUAACAUGAAACACUUCGAUAUCUCCCUUUUGCUGGUGGUCUCUCAAAAAGUGAUGCCGGAUGUCUAUGUGCUUUGUGCGGCUGUGUUCAACAGGAUUUUCCGCCAUGCGGAUAGCACUCUCAUUAUCACAUAGGAGUGGGACUUUGCUCAGAUUGUAGCCAAAGUCCCGGAGGGUUUGCCUCAUCCAAAGUAGUUGCGCGCAACACUGUCCUGCGGCAACGUACUCGGCCUCAGCGGUGGAUAGGGCAACGGAAGUUUGUUUCUUAGAGUUCCACGACACCAGGGACCUUCCUAAGAAUUGGCACGCUCCCGAUGUACUCUUCCUAUCGACCUUACAUCCAGCAUAGUCGGAAUCUGAGUAUCCAAUUAAGUCAAAGUUAGACCCCUUAGGAUACCAGAUCCCGAAGCAAGGCGUAGCGACUAAAUAUCUCAGUAUUCGCUUCACCGCCACUAAGUGACACUCCUUAGGAUCGGAUUGAAAUCUAGCACACAUGCAUACGCUAAGCAUAAUAUCCGGUCUACUAGCACAUAAAUAAAGCAAAGAACCUAUCAUGGACCGGUAUGCUUUUUGAUCAACGGACUUACCUCCUUUGUUGAGGUCGGUGUGUCCGUCGGUUCCCAUCGGCGUCUUUGUGGGCUUGGCGUCCUUCAUCCCAAACCUCUUUAGCAAAUCUUGCGUGUACUUCGUUUGGGAGAUGAAGGUGCCGUCCUUGAGUUGCUUCACUUGGAACCCAAGGAAGUAGUUCAACUCGCCCAUCAUCGACAUCUUGAAUUUCUGCGUCAUCACCCUGACACGUGGUCGGGGUACCGUUCAUCCUCGAAGCCAGGGGGUUGCUCUACGUACACCUCCUCCUUGAUCGGCCCGUUGAGGAACGCGCUCUUCACAUCCAUUUGGUACAACCUGAAAGAAUGGUGAGCGGCAUAUGCUAGCAAGAUACGAAUUGAUUCUAGCCUAGCCACAGGAGCAAAAGUCUCCUCAAAGUCCAAACCUGCGACUUGGGCAUAACCUUUUGCCACAAGUCGAGCCUUGUUCCUCGUCACCACCCCGUGCUCGUCCUGUUUGUUGCGGAACACCCACUUGGUUCCCACAACAUUUUGCUUAGGACGAGGUACCAGCGUCCAAACUUCAUUUCUCUUGAAGUUGUUGAGCUCCUCUUGCAUGGCCAACACCCAGUCCGGAUCUAGCAAGGCCUCUUCUACCCUGAAAGGCUCAGUAGAAGAGACAAAGGAGUAAUGCUCACAAAAAUUAACUAAUCGAGAUCGAGUUGUUACUCCCUUGCUAAUAUCACCCAGAAUUUGAUCGGCGGGAUGAUUCCUUUGAAUCAUCGCUCGAACUUGGGUUGGAGGUGCCGGUUGCGCUUCUUCCUCCAUCACAUGAUCAUCUUGUGCUCCCCCUUGAUCACACGCCUCCUGUUGAUGAACCUGUUCAUCGUCUUGAGUUGGGGGAUGCACCGUUGUUGAGGAAGAAGGUUGAUCUCGUUCAUCUUGUUCCUGUGGCCGCACUUCUCCAAUCGCCAUGGUUCGUAUAGCAGCCGUCGGAACAUCUUCUUCAUCUACAUCAUCACAAUCAACAACUUGCUCUCUUGGAGAGCCAUUAGUCUCAUCAAAUACAACGUCGCUAGAGACUUCAACCAAACCCGAUGAUUUGUUGAAGACUCUAUACGCCUUUGUAUUUGAGUCAUAACCUAACAAAAACCCUUCUACAGCUUUGGGAGCAAACUUAGAAUUUCUACCCUUCUUCACUAGAAUGUAGCAUUUGCUCCCAAAUACACGAAAGUAAGAUACAUUGGGUUUGUUACCGGUUAGAAGCUCAUACGACGUCUUCUUGAGGAGGCGGUGAAGGUAGACCCUGUUGAUGGCGUGACAAGUCGUGUUCACGGCUUCCGACCAAAAGCACUCGGGGGUCUUGAACUCUCCAAGCAUCGUCCUCGCCAUAUCAAUGAGUGUCCUGUUCUUCCUCUCUACCACACCAUUUUGCUGUGGUGUGUAGGGAGCGGAGAACUCGUGCUUGAUCCCUUCCUCCUCAAGGAACUCCUCCACUUGAAGGUUCUUGAACUCGGACCCGUUGUCGCUCCUUAUCUUCUUCACCUUGAGCUCAAACUCAUUUUGAGCUCUCCUUAGGAAGCGCUUGAGGGUCCCUUGGGUUUCAGAUUUAUCCUGCAAAAAGAAUACCCAAGUGAAGCGGGAAAAGUCAUCAACAAUAACUAGACCAUACUUACUUCCUCCUAUGCUUAGAUAGGCGACGGGUCCGAAGAGGUCCAUAUGUAGUAACUCCAGGGGUCUUGAAGUGGUCAUCACAUUCUUGCUGUGAUGCGCUCCUCCCACUUGUUUACCUGCUUGACAAGCUGCACAAGGUCUAUCUUUUUCGAAAUGCACAUUAGUCAAACCUAUCACGUGUUCUCCCUUUAGAAGCUUGUGAAGGUUCUUCAUCCCCACAUGUGCUAAGCGGCGAUGCCACAGCCAGCCCAUGCCAGUCUUAGCAAUUAAGCAUGCAUCUAGACCGGCCUCCUCUUUUGCAAAAUCAACUAAAUAAAGUUUGCCGUCUAAUACACCCUUAAAUGCUAGUGAACCAUCACUUCUUCUAAAGACAGACACAUCUACAUUUGUAAAAAGACAAUUAUAUCCCAUAUUGCAUAGUUGGCUAACAGAUAGCAAAUUGUAGCCAAGAGACUCAACUAAAAACACAUUAGAGAUAGAGUGCUCAUUAGAAAUUGCAAUUUUACCUAACCCUUUUACCUUGCCUUGAUUCCCAUCACCGAAUAUAAUUGAAUCUUGGGAAUCUUUAUUCUUGACAUAGGAGGUGAACAUCUUCUUCUCCCCCGUCAUAUGGUUUGUGCAUCCGCUGUCGAUAAUCCAGCUUGAACCCCCGGAUGCAUAAACCUGCAAGGCAAAUUUAGGCUUGGGUCUUAGGUACCCAACUCAUGUUGGGUCCUACAAGGUUAGUGCAAAUAUCCUUAGGGACCCAAAUGCAAGUUUUGUCUCCCUUGCAUUUUGCCCCUAACUUCCUAGCAACUAUUUUCCUAUCCUUUCUACAAAUAGCAAAGGAAGCAUUUAAAGCACAAUAAAUUGUAGAAGGUUCAUUCACUACUUUCCUAGGAGCAUGAAUAAUAUUCUUUCUAGGCACAUGAUGAAUAGUAUUUCUUCUAGACAUAUUUCUAUCAUGCAUAUAGGAAGAACUAGAAGCAACCAUGGCAUGAGAGUUAAAGUCAUCAUAAGCAUUAUAACUCCUAUAAGCAUUUCUAGUUUGUCUCCUAUCAUGAUACAUAAAAGCAUGGUUCCUUUUAGUACUUUUAGCCAUAGGGGCCUUCCCUUUCUCCUUGGCGGAGAUGGGAGCCUUAUGGCUUGUUAAGUUCUUGGCUUCCCUCUUGAAGCCAAGUCCAUCCUUAAUUGAGGGGUGUCUAUCAACCGUGUAGGCAUCCCUAGCAAAUUUUAGUUUCUCAAAAUCACUUUUGCUAGUCUCAAGUUGGGUAUUAAGACUAGCCACCUCUUCAUUUAAUUUAGAAAUGCAAGCUAGGUGUUCACUAUAAGCAUCAAUGUUAAUAUCUUUACACCUAGUGCAAGUUAUAACAUUCUCUACGCAAGAGUUAGAUUUACUAGCAAUCUUAGCAUUCAAGUCAUCAUUAAUGCUCCUUAAGCUAGAAAUUGUCUCAUGGCAAGAAGAUAAUUCACAAGAAAGCAUUUCGUUUCUUUUAACUUCUAGAGCAUGAGAUUUUUGUGCUUCUACAAAUUUAUCAUGUUCAUCAUAUAACAAAUCCUCUUGCUUUUCUAAAAGCCUAUCCUUUUCAUUCAAGGCAUCAAUUAACUCAUUAAUUUUGCCAAUUUUAAUUCUAUCUAGACCUUUAAAUAAACUAGAAUAGUCUAUUUCAUUGUCGUCACUAGAAUCAUCAUCACUAGAAGAAUAAGUGGUACUUUCUCGAGUACAUACCUUCUUCUCCUUCGCCAUGAGGCAUGUGUGAUGCUCGUUGGGGAAGAGGGACGACUUGUUGAAGGCGGUGGCGGCGAGUCCUUCAUUGUCGGAGUCGGAGGAGGAGCAAUCCGAAUCCCACUCCUUUCCGAUAUGUGCCUCGCCCUUGGCCUUCUUGUAAUGUUUCUUCUUUUCCCUCUUGCUCCCGAGUUCCUGGUCACUUUCAUUAUCGGGACAGUUAGCAAUAAAAUGACCAAUCUUACCGCAUUUGAAGCAUGAGCGCUUCCCUUUGGCUUUGGUCUUGCUUAGCUGUCCCUUGCGACCCUUGAGCGCCAUCUUGAAUCUCUUGAUGAUGAGAUCCAUCUCUUCAUCAUUAAGUCCGGCCGCCUCAAUUUGUGCCACCUUGUUAGGUAGCGCCUCCUUGCUUCUUGUUGCUUUGAGAGCAAGAGGUUGCGGCUCGUUGAUCGGUCCAUUCAAGGCGUCGUCCACGUACCUUGCCUCCUUGAUCAUCAUUCGCCCACUUACGAAUUUUCCAAGGACUUCUUCGGGCGACAUUUUGGUGUACCUGGGAUUCUCACGAAUAUUAUUCACCAAAUGAGGAUCAAGAACGGUAAAGGACCUUAGCAUCAGUCGGACGACGUCGUGGUCCGUCCAUCGCGUGCUUCCAUAGCUCCUUAUUUUGUUGAUAAGGGUCUUGAGCCGGUUGUAUGUUUGAGUUGGCUCCUCGCCCCUUAUCAUUGCGAACCGUCCAAGCUCGCCCUCCACCAACUCCAUCUUGGUGAGUAAGGUGACGUCAUUCCCUUCAUGAGAGAUCUUGAGGGUGUCCCAUAUUUGCUUGGCGUUAUCCAAGCCGCUCACUUUGUUGUAUUCAUCCCUGCACAAAGAAGCUAGAAGAACAGUAGUAGCUUGUGCAUUCUUAUGUAUUUGCUCAUUAAUGAACAUGGGACUAUCGGAACUAUCAAAGUGCAUUCCACUUUCUACAAUCUCCCAUAUACUAGGAUGGAGAGAGAAUAGGUGACUACGCAUUUUGUGGCUCCAAAAUCCGUAGUCCUCUCCAUCAAAGUGUGGGGGCUUGCCGAGUGGAAUGGAGAGCAAAUGUGAACUUGAACUAUGCGGAAUACGAGAGUAGUCAAAAGAAAAGUUCGAAUUGACCGGUUUCUUUUUCUCGUAGUCGUUGUGGUCGUCGUCCUUUUGGGAGGAAGUAGACUCAUCGCUGUCGUAGUAGACGAUCUCCUUGAUGCGUCUUGUCUUCUUCUUCUUCCCAUCUUUGCGUCUGUGACCCGAGCCCGAGUCGUUGGACUUGUCAUCCCUUGGCUCGUUGACGAAGGACUCCUUCUCCUUGUCGUUGAUCACGAUUCCCUUCCCUUUAGGAUCCAUCUCUUCGGGCGGUUAGUCCCUUUGUGAAGAGAACGGCUCCGAUACCUAUUGAGAGCACCUAGAGGGGGGGUGAAUAGGUGAUCCUGUGAAACUUAAACUUAUAGCCACAAAAACUUGUUAAGUGUUAGCCCAAUAAUCGCCAAGUGGCUAGAGAGGAGUCUCAACAAAAC
RNAcentral lists this long non-coding RNA (9287 nucleotides) under Zea mays. RNAcentral describes it as "long non-coding RNA (ZMAY_LNC002311)". The record is from RNAcentral. Lineage: Eukaryota; Viridiplantae; Streptophyta; Magnoliopsida; Poales; Poaceae.